GAGGCGUCUACAAACCUUCAACAUCCCAAACUAACGGUGCGGUGCCGUGGGAAUCUUCGCCCUUCAGGGCGGAGAGGAGGUCAAUCUUU
RNAcentral lists this small RNA (89 nucleotides) under uncultured archaeon A07HR67. RNAcentral's name for it is "HgcC family RNA". The record is from RNAcentral.